UUACCCGCUGAAACUUAAGCAUAUCAAUAAGCGGAGGA
RNAcentral lists this ribosomal RNA (38 nucleotides) under Fomitopsis serialis. Its description in RNAcentral is "Antrodia serialis partial 28S ribosomal RNA". Lineage: Eukaryota; Fungi; Basidiomycota; Agaricomycetes; Polyporales; Fomitopsidaceae. The record is from RNAcentral.